AUGGAAAAAGGAGAUGGGAAAAGGGAGCUGGGAAAAUGGAGAUGGAAAAAGGGAGAUGGAAAAAAGGAGAUGGAAAAAGGGAGAUGGAAAAAAGGAGAUGGAAAAAGGACCUGGGAAAAAGGAGAUGAAAAAAGGAGAUGGAAAAAAGGAGAUGAAAAAGGACCUGAAAAAAGGGAGAUGGAAAAGGGACCUGGGAAAAAAGAGAUGAAAAAAGGAGAUGGAAAAAGGAGAUGGGAAAAAGGAGAUUGGGAAAAGGAGGUGGUAAAAAGGAGAUUGAAAAAGGGAGUUGGGAAAAAAGGAGAUGGAAAAAGGGGAGAUGGAAAAAAGGAGAUGAAAAAGGACCUGGGAAAAAGGAGAUGGAGAAAGGGAGAUGGAAAAAAGGAAAUGGAAAAAAGGAGAUGGAAAAAGGGAGCUGGAAAAAAGGAGAUGGAAAAAAUGAAAUGGAAAAAGAAGAUGAAAAAGGACCUGGGAAAAAGGAGACAAAAAAAGGAGAUGGAAAAAGGAGAUGGGAAAAAGGGAGCUGGGAAAAAGGAGAUGGAAAAAGGAGAUGGGAAAAGGAGGAUGGAAAAAAGGAGAUGGAAAAAAAGAGAUGGAAAAAAGGAGAUGGCUUCAGAUUGGCACCAAGGGCUACAGAACAUCAAUCCCCAGCAUACUCCACACACCUGCUCCCAAACCAAACCCUCUCCUUCUCCCCCCAGUGCUGUGUCAGGAGCACAGAGCAGCAGGAGGAGGGAGAACUGCCUGCAUUCAUUUCCCUGCAGCUCUCCUGGCACGGCUGCACAUCAUCAUUUAUCUUUCAGCAGCUUUGCUUUGCUCCCAGCUGCCUUUGCAGUUCAAAGCGACGGCAGCUUUGGGCAGAGGAAUUUUGUUGCAGUGUGUGUAAAGCAAGGAGGUGUUUGUGUAGUACUUGCCUGGCACCAGAGAGGCUGGAUUUAUUAUUUAUGUGUGUGUUGUAAUACAGACAGACAGAGAUUGGGUUUGUUAGAGCUUGUGCUGUUCGCAGGGAGGUAAUUCCUGCAAUAUUCCAAGUGCUGCUGCCCUCAGUGGGGUGUAAGCAGCUUUAAUGGGAUAUUUUAUUGCAUUGAUGUGGUCAGGGAUGCUGGGAGCAUCAUCAGCUUCAUUUUAUCUGUGUCCCCAAAUGCUGCUCUGGGUGCUUGUGAUGGAGAGCUGCAGAAAUCCCACAUUUUUGGCAGGAAAACCCCAAACCAACAUUUUCACCUGGGCUGGUUUGUCAUCCUGGAGCAGCAGCAAUUCCAGGGUGCAGAGGGAAGGGCCAUCAACAGGAGUGGCUGCAGUGGAUCCGUGCCUGGAACCAACCCAGACCUCUCCUGCUUUUCCUCCAUCUCCAGAGGGAUUUUAGAGAGGGAAAAAUUUAUUUCUGAUUUUCAAACAUUGCAUUGCAAGGCAGCACUGGAGAAGCAGCAGGUUCCAGUGGCAAAAGGUGCGAGUUGUUCUUGUCUUCCUUAAUCCAGGAAAUCCAGGGCUUUGUAGUUUAUUAAUUUGUUAUUAACAUUUAGGAAUGGUGCUCAUAGCUUCCAGAUUGCUCCGUUCUGGGUUGAUGGCUUUGCAUUCACAUCUGAAGCGAAAAUUAUCUCUGAAAUUCAAAUCUUUAUUACAACGUCCUUAGUUCUCUGCUGAGGUUUUCACUUGGGUUCUGGAAUCUAUUUCUAAAAUGUUUGUGCCGUUAUAAAUUCAGGGAGAAAACCCUGAUGUGUGAGUCCCAUGUCAGCAGCACUUUGGGCACUUUUGUCAGGAAUAAAACCCCCCUGAUUAAUGGUUUUUAAGCA
This is a long non-coding RNA of Junco hyemalis (dark-eyed junco), 1787 nucleotides long. The record is from Ensembl. Lineage: Eukaryota; Metazoa; Chordata; Aves; Passeriformes; Passerellidae.